CAGUAGCCACGGUAAUACGGAGGGUGCAAGCGUUAAUCGGAAUUACUGGGCGUAAAGCGCACGCAGGCGGUCUGACAAGUCAGAUGUGAAAUCCCCGGGCUUAACCUGGGAACUGCAUUUGAAACUGUCAGGCUGGAGUCUUGUAGAGGGGGGUAGAAUUCCAGGUGUAGCGGUGAAAUGCGUAGAGAUCUGGAGGAAUACCGGUGGCGAAGGCGGCCCCCUGGACAAAGACUGACGCUCAGGUGCGAAAGCGUGGGGAGCAAACAGGAUUAGAUACCCCCGGUAGUCCCUGUCUCUUAUA
Molecule: ribosomal RNA, 301 nt
Filed under: uncultured bacterium
Lineage: Bacteria
Description: partial 16S ribosomal RNA
Rfam family: Bacterial small subunit ribosomal RNA
Source: RNAcentral